RNAcentral lists this ribosomal RNA (497 nucleotides) under uncultured bacterium. RNAcentral describes it as "partial 16S ribosomal RNA". It matches the Rfam family "Bacterial small subunit ribosomal RNA", at positions 28 to 507 of the family's 1533-position model. The record is from RNAcentral.
GAUGAACGCUGGCGGCGUGCCUAAUACAUGCAAGUCGAGCGAACAGACGAGGAGCUUGCUCCUUUGACGUUAGCGGCGGACGGGUGAGUAACACGUGGGUAACCUACCUAUAAGACUGGGAUAACUUCGGGAAACCGGAGCUAAUACCGGAUAAUAUUUCGAACCGCAUGGUUCGAUAGUGAAAGAUGGCUUUGCUAUCACUUAUAGAUGGGCCUGCGCCGUAUUAGCUAGUUGGUAAGGUAACGGCUUACCAAGGCAACGAUACGUAGCCGACCUGAGAGGGUAAUCGGCCACACUGGAACUGAGACACGGUCCAGACUCCUACGGGAGGCAGCAGUAGGGAAUCUUCCGCAAUGGGCGAAAGCCUGACGGAGCAACGCCGCGUGAGUGAUGAAGGUCUUCGGAUCGUAAAACUCUGUUAUUAGGGAAGAACAAACGUGUAAGUAACUGUGCACGUCUUGACGGUACCUAAUCAGAAAGCCACGGCUAACUACGUG